Molecule: long non-coding RNA, 1365 nt
Organism: Nerophis ophidion (straightnose pipefish)
Lineage: Eukaryota; Metazoa; Chordata; Actinopteri; Syngnathiformes; Syngnathidae
Exons: 3
Source: RefSeq, a predicted model, not a curated record
AAGAGUCUCGGCGUCUGAUUGGUCCAAUUUUCAGUUAGGCGCCGCCUGAUUGGCCGUUGGAUGAUGUCUGAUCCUAACAGAUGGCUAAAUCACUAGUUAAUUAUUUUCCUCAUGGAAGUUAUACAGCUCACGUAUCACACUUAAUAUUGAAUAUAUAUAUAAAAAGGGUUUUCCAAAAGGACCAUUUAUAAUCGAAAUACAAAACUUCACACACGAUUUUGAGCACAACAGAGCGCUCAGUGAACAGCACUUCCGGGACCUGCAUCACCGGAGGGGGACAUCUAUCUUGGCCACAAACCAUCUUUGACAGUCUUCGGCAGCAUGGUUGAAUCAGGUGAGCAUAAAAUGGAGUUUAACGUAAUUAAAUAGACCAAUGUUUUUUAACAUAGGAAAAUAGUUCAUUGUAAACAACAGUUAAAUGUUUGUUGUUAUUAAUUGCAAUCAGAUUUGAUUUUAUGAGGUCAAAUUAAGCAUUUCAGUUCUGGGCCAAGGCCAAGGCAUUUAAAAAUUUUUUUUUAAAGUUGCAUGGAAGAUUAUAAGUAGCAGUGAUUGUCACACACACACUAGGUGUGGUGAAAUUAUUCUCUGCAUUUGACCCAUCACCCUUGAUCACUAUGCUAGUAAACCUUUUCUUAAUUUUAAACAAGACAGACUAGAGUUCUUCAAAUUGUUUAUACUUUUUCUCAAAUACAAAUAUUUCAAGCUGAUAAGCACUGUGGAGUAGGCAUGUUACUGAUAUUGUUACAUUAGUUCUUUGUUUGAGAAGCUUCAUGUCUGCACUGAUCCUAAAUUUAACAGUUUUUGAAGGGUUUGGUUCUUUGUUUUAUUUCUGUGUCACUGACUUUUUUCAUUUUUAUGUGUGGAUUUGUUAGGCGCAUCAACACAUGAUAUAGACAUCGUGCCCAAAAGAAGAGCGAGACGUAAUCCUGAGGCUGAAGCUACCGAGUUUAUUUGAUCUGGAUGUGACAAGUCUUGUUUUAAGGCCCAGUGGAUCAAUGAUUGGAAAGACACCAACUGUUGAUGUUCUAUCUCAACAUUCUCCAGAUUCAUGUGACCGAUAAACCGACUUCAUCCCUCCAACAGACACCAACUGUUGGGGUUCUAUCUCAACAUUCUCCAGAUUCAGAUGUGAGCGAUAAACCGACUUCAUCCCUCCAACAGGUUAUUACAAGUCUAUUUUUACUAUAUCUGCUCUAAAUGUGACCCAACCUAUAUUUUGAAAGACAUUUAUUAAUUUUAAUCUCUCACAGAUCAGUUUAUAUGACAACAUUUUCGUAAGAGUACAUCCAUGUUAGUCAGUAAGGAGUUUGGAACUCAUGUUUAGCAAAACAGGAGAUGUUACAAGUCAACAACAUACAUUCUACA